Cydia splendana is the source of this 377-nucleotide long non-coding RNA. RefSeq lists it as uncharacterized. The record is from RefSeq and is a predicted model, not a curated record. The transcript has 3 exons. Lineage: Eukaryota; Metazoa; Arthropoda; Insecta; Lepidoptera; Tortricidae.
UCAAGCCCGCGGGCUGAAUCCUCCAAAUUUUCACCGUAAAUAAAAACCGGAAAAUGAACCAGCACAGGUAAAACGGCAGCAAGAUGAAUCGGUCGGGGCUCCUGCUCUGGUGGCUACUCUUCAUACUCUUCGAAAUUGUCAGCCAAGCCUACGGCUGCAGCACUUGCUGCCGCAAGAGACCCUGUCGUCCUCCUCGCUGCCCCGGCGGCUGCAAGCCCAAGUACUGGUGACCGCCUAUCCCAUACCGUAAUGUUCGCAUGGCUCCUGGCGCGGCUGGCGCUCCUGCUGUGGCUGGCGCUGGCGGCGGCCGCCUGCAAGAAGAGGGUCAUCGUGUGCCGCCCGCCGCCCGGCCAGCCACCCGCGUGCCGGCAGGGCGU